Molecule: microRNA precursor, 134 nt
Filed under: Callithrix jacchus (white-tufted-ear marmoset)
Lineage: Eukaryota; Metazoa; Chordata; Mammalia; Primates; Cebidae
Description: microRNA cja-mir-577 precursor
Gene: cja-mir-577
Rfam family: mir-577 microRNA precursor family (bases 25-120)
Source: miRBase by way of RNAcentral
AGGCACCCAAUGGCAGGCUGUAUUUGGAGGAAUGAAGAGUAGAUAAGGUACUGGUACCUGAUGAAUCUGAGGCCAGGUUUCAAUACUUUAUCUACUUUUCAUUUCCCCAAACGUACUUACUGUAGGUAUGGCCU